CGCUCUCUGGAAAAUUUAUUAAACAUUUGAUUAAAUGUAUAUAGAGAGUCGGACCUGCCCGGUGACUAAUAUAUGUUAAACGGCCGCGGUACCCUGACCGUGCAAAGGUAGCAUAAUCAUUUGCCUCUUAAUUGGGGGCUAGUAUGAAUGGUUUGACGAGAACUAAGCUGUCUCUUUUUAAAUAUAUAAAAAUUAAUUUUUAGGUGAAGAGGCCUAAAUUUAGUUGAGGGACAAGAAGACCCCAUUGAGCUUUAGUGAUUUAGUAAAGUAUAUUAUGUAAACUGAGGGUUUACACUUUGUGAUUACAUUUUAAUGAAGAUGUUAUUUACUAAUAAAUCUUUAGUUGGGGCGACUAAGGAACAAAUAAAGCUUCCUUUAUUAAUGUAGUAACAUUUUAAUGAAAGCAAUUUAUUAAUAAUGAUCCAGUAUUUACUGAUUAAAGGAAAAAGUUACCAUGGGGAUAACAGCGUAAUCUUUCUAAAGAGUUCUUAUCGAAGGAAGGGUUUGCGACCUCGAUGUUGGACUAAGAUAUCCUAGGAAUGCAGAAGUUUCUAAAGGUUAGUCUGUUCGACUAUUAAAAUCUU
RNAcentral lists this ribosomal RNA (584 nucleotides) under Turbo laetus. RNAcentral describes it as "partial 16S ribosomal RNA". It matches the Rfam family "Bacterial large subunit ribosomal RNA", at positions 1816 to 2597 of the family's 2925-position model. Lineage: Eukaryota; Metazoa; Mollusca; Gastropoda; Trochida; Turbinidae. The record is from RNAcentral.